UGUCUGUUAGUGAAUAAUAGCACACAUUUGAGCUACUUCAGGGUCUGUGAGAUGACCCAUUCAACAACAUGGCCUCACAUGCCCUUGUUCUCUUAGGCACUUCAGCAACCCAACCUUAGGGCUACACCUUGGAUCAUGUUGCCAGUCAGUGCUGCUUGACCAGAAUUUUGAAUUCUGGCCACAGCUGCUUCUUGGACUUUUCAUGUCACUCUUUCAUGUUUAUUAAGUUUUGUCUUAAUUUCCAUAAUCUUUGCCAGUUCUUUAACCCCUCUAAAAUUCUCAGUCUCUCACUCCUCUGCUAAGGAAGGGUUUGAAGGCUGCAAAAAAUUGGAAGGAGGCAGAGGGAAGAAUGUUAAUCUAGAAGCUUUUGCAUAGCAAGCAGAAACUUCUAGAUUCAUUAGUAUUUAGAAUGUAUGCUUACCUGGUGCACCUUGUGGGUAACCAUAGAGAUUAUGGAUAGAAUAACGGGAAAGGAGAGAGGGAGAUGAUAGGGGACUACACUCAGAGGUGGUGAGAAAGACAGAAAAGGAGAGAUUUAAAGACGUGUAGAGAACAUCUGGUUUACUUGCCUCACUAGUCAUCGUGGUUGUCACAUUUGGACUGCACAGGAAGCAUUAUAGAGAGAUUAUAGAACCCGGCUGGUUCUUGGAUCCAACUGACUGUGUGUCUGUGUGUCUGGGAUUCCUUUUGGAUCCUGCUAUGCCAAAACUGGAUCAAAACGAACGCCAAGUGCUUACUUUGAAAAAAUAGGCAAAUGGUGGUGGCAAUGGCUCACGCCUGUAAUUCCAGCACUUUGAGAGACC
Molecule: long non-coding RNA, 803 nt
Filed under: Homo sapiens (human)
Lineage: Eukaryota; Metazoa; Chordata; Mammalia; Primates; Hominidae
Description: HSALNT0343347
Source: RNAcentral